Non-coding RNA from Xyrichtys novacula (pearly razorfish), 83 nucleotides. NCBI's taxonomy places the organism in Eukaryota, Metazoa, Chordata, Actinopteri, Labriformes, Labridae. The record is from the annotation of a GenBank genome assembly.
GGUGUGUGAGAGUGUGUGCGUCUGUGAGUAUGAAUGAGGUGAUGUUCUCUUUCAUGCACACACACACACACUGUUCACACACA